Notolabrus celidotus (New Zealand spotty) is the source of this 219-nucleotide long non-coding RNA. RefSeq lists it as uncharacterized. NCBI's taxonomy places the organism in Eukaryota, Metazoa, Chordata, Actinopteri, Labriformes, Labridae. The transcript has 3 exons. The record is from RefSeq and is a predicted model, not a curated record.
GUUCAUCAAGGUUGGCCUUCCAGACGACAUAUAUGGAUCUAACAUCGUUUAAAAGCAACCACUGCUAUUGGUCAAACCCCAGAGCUACUCCUGGAUCUGCAGCAGACGCCUUGGGCUAACAGCACCACACUGGAAUUAAUACACACUUCACAAUAUCUUCUCUACUUGAGUCACUGAAAGCAUUGGAACAGUUUGAAAUUAAAACACAUGAAGACAUCU